RNAcentral lists this RNase MRP RNA (392 nucleotides) under Penicillium antarcticum. Its description in RNAcentral is "RNase MRP". It matches the Rfam family "RNase MRP". Rfam says of the family: RNase MRP is an enzymatically active ribonucleoprotein with two distinct roles in eukaryotes. The record is from Rfam by way of RNAcentral. Lineage: Eukaryota; Fungi; Ascomycota; Eurotiomycetes; Eurotiales; Aspergillaceae.
UCCUCGCUCAAAGAAUCGCAUUCAAAGCUCACACACAAAAGGAAUUUACUCCUUUUAUCUCUUGCUUUGGGAGAAAGUCCCCGGACACCCUGCGCUUUGGUUCCGCCAAAGUUCCAAGCCAGGCACUGCGGAAACGCGCCGCCAUAGAAGCAAUUCGAUAGCGGCUGACUGCCCUAUUCCCUCCCAGCACUUCGCACCACCCGACGGUUACAUGUAACAAUGUCUCUGGAAACAAUGGGGUGUGUGUUUGGUGUUGGAGAGGGGAAGGAUUUAGUUCCUUGUAUUGGGUUGCCUUUCGUCAUGUUCGGAUAGUCAUGCGAUUGCCCUUUUCAUCUGCUUCCGUCAGGUUGUCGGUGGAGGGUAACUCAAUGGGGCUCAUUCUUGAGGCGAGG